This 254-nucleotide ribosomal RNA is filed under the name uncultured bacterium. Its description in RNAcentral is "partial 16S ribosomal RNA". It matches the Rfam family "Bacterial small subunit ribosomal RNA", at positions 524 to 776 of the family's 1533-position model. The record is from RNAcentral.
GACGAACCGUGCGAACGUUAUUCGGAAUCACUGGGCUUAAAGCGCGUGUAGGCGGCCCGGCACGUCAUCGGCUGAAAUCCCCCGGCUCAACCGGGGAAGGGACCAUGAUACGACCGGGCUGGAGGCCGGUAGGGGGCGCCGGAACUCACGGUGGAGCGGUGAAAUGCGUUGAGAUCGUGAGGAACGCCCGUGGCGAAAGCGGGCGCCUGGACCGGGCCUGACGCUGAGGCACGAAAGCUGGGGGAGCGAACAGG